UUACUCAUCCCUGCCUGCCUGAAAAUAUCCAGACUCUAAUUGACAUGCCCUGACUGUCACUGUGUGCUUAGUUAUAAACGAUGCUGCCUAUUACCGUCUAAUGAGAGGCUUCACUGUGCAGCACUGUACCACACCAUCUGCCUGUCAUCCAGGAGCUUGUUAUUUAAAGGUGAGCUGCGUCCGCUUCGGGGUACGAGCACAACACAAGAGCAGCAGAGGAGAGGGUAGGAGAAGUCCUCACACAGCUACAGGUGAAAUAAAGACAUCUGAGAGAGGCGGAAGGAGACCCAAUGAGACAAAAUAAGAGGGAGAAGCAGAGAGGUGAAUUUCUGAUGGUGAUGAUGAAAAGGUAGGGGUUGAGGAGGAGAGCGACCAUGCCUGUCAUAUGACUCUAAUUCAAAGUGAUGGAGCUAAAAGAGGAGGGAGGGGGAGGCUGCAUGUUGGACAGAGAUAUUCCUGAUGGAUAUUUUAAAAGCUUCCUCCUAAAUCUGUAAAACCCGUCAAAGAGCAGAAGGAGUGUUUAUAGCUGCAGGGAUACGAGCUGGAAUGUAUUUAAACUCACGGGAAUUAAAGUCACAUUUGGGAUGCUUUAGGUAGAUUAAAGUUGUGUUUCACCACACACAGAUGAGCUGAAGAGGUGAAGUCUCUAUUUUUCUGCAUUCCUCUGGAACAAAGGAGGAUGAUAGAAGGAACAAUGAGAGAUGUUCCAGCUGGCAGCAGCUCUAUGACUGUGCGGAAAGGAAACCGUUUGGGCAUCUCCAUCCAGGAGCACAUGGCCAUUGACGUUUGCCCCGGCCCCAUUCGCCCCAUUCGUCAGAUCUCUGCGUACUUCCCGCGCCUUUCGCCUACUUCCUCCUUCUCUGAGCCUCUCUCGCCCAAUCAGCUGACAGCCCCGGGUGCACUCAGCCCGGGCAGCGCAGGUCAAGGUGGUGGAGCAGUUGGAGGAGGAGGAGGAGGAGAAGCAGCGAGCAGUGGUCUUUUGUCUCCACUGUUACCAGGAGCUGCAGGCGGAGGGGGGUCACUGUCGGCCAUGAGCAGCAUGGACACCUCUAUUGAGAUUGACAGCUGUGACAGUGAUGAUAACACCUCCCUGGGGACGCUGGAGUUUGACCUCCUGUAUGAAAAAGCCACGAGCUCCUUACACUGCACCGUCCUCAGAGCAAAGGGUUUGAAGCCGAUGGAUUUCAACGGUUUGGCUGAUCCUUACGUCAAGCUGCACCUGCUUCCAGGAGCGUGCAAGGCCAAUAAACUGAAAACCAAGAUAGUUCGAAACACGCUGAACCCCGUCUGGAACGAGACACUCACCUACUGUGGGAUCACCGAGGAGGACAUGUACCGCAAAACUCUACGGGUGUCUGUGUGCGACGAAGACAAGCUGACACAUAACGAGUUCAUCGGGGAGUCGAGGGUGGCCCUGCGCCGUGUGAAGCCUGACCAGACCAAACACUUCAACAUCUGUCUGGAGCAUCCACCUCCUCUGCCUUCGCCGACGGCCAUGAGCCCGGCCCUGAGAGGAAUCUCCUGCUACCUGAGAGAGUGGGAGACCGAGCAGCAGAGAAGUCUGGAGGAGAGAGGGCGUCUGCUGCUCUGCCUCCAGUUCCUCCCUCCAAACAGCGACAGCGAUCUGAAGGGCGAGGCCAAGGAGAGAGCUCGGGGUGGGCUGUGUGUGGGCGUCAAACGCUGCGCCCACCUGGCAGCCAUGGAUGUCAACGGCUUCUCCGACCCCUACGUCAAAACGUAUCUGAAGCCAGAUGUUCAGAAGAAGUCCAAGCACAAAACAGCGGUUAUAAAGAAGACUCUGAAUCCAGAGUUUAACGAGGAGUUCUUCUAUGAAAUUUCCUUCUCAGAGUUGGCCUCCAAGACUCUAGAGGUCACUGUGUGGGACUACGACCUGGGGAGGUCCAAUGACUUCAUUGUGUCGCCCCCAAGGGUUGGCCAGGGGUGGCCAUGGUCACCCCUGGAAAAUUGCUGGCCACACUGAGGGAAGACCAGUGUUCUGCAAUAAGUCAUGCUAAUGUUCACACAAACCAUAAAUGGGGAGUGUCCCUUGGGUGCCACUCACAGGGAGAAACCCUGCAACACUGGAUAGACUGCCUGAAGAAUAAGGGCAAGAAGGUGGAGCGCUGGCAUACCCUGACCAACGAGCUGCCCGGUUCCACCCUGCAGGAAUGAACUGGUUCUCAGUGCUGAUGCUGCACAUGCUGCCAGAAAACUGGGAGAUGUUUCAUCGCAUGCUCUGAAGUUUUCCUGCAUGAUGAACUCAUUCUUACUCACCUUGUGUUAAUAAAUGGGUUCAUAGUUCAUGACAACAUCUCCAACAGGGGUCACUUACAGAGAUCAAAAAGCAGAACUUUUGAGAAUUAUUUAUACAUAUUCACUUGUUUAAGAUGCAGAUAUCUCGUGCAUCAGGAACGGACUCCUGCUCAUGGGUGUGGUGAGAUGAAAGGGAUUUAAUUAUUCUGCAUUUGGACUCCCGUACCGUCCUUCACGUCAGGACUGCUUGCUUUUUUUUAUUAAAUUCUGUCAGUUCUUUUCAUUACGUCCUGACAUUAAAACUCCACGGGUAAUGACCAUCUGUCUCACAGCGCACAUACCUCUCCUCUGCAAUAAUGUUUUCCCAGAUGCUUCCAAAGAUUUCCGGGUGGUCUCAAUAUACCGUUGGAGGGUUUAAACGUAUCGAUCUGACUGUCACCAGGCCGUCUGCGGACGACUCAGUGUGACGAGAUAAUUGGCCGGUGGUGCGCGUGAGCUGUUGGUGGGGCUGUUCUCAGCUACAGGACGGGGGUGUUUGCUCAUCACUGUGCCGUUUGGGCUUCUCUUAAUGUGCUAUGAGUUAGUUUAUCCGACCAGCUCUGUAUUUUUCACAGUUGUUUAAUGUGUAUCUGUGAGUGAAACUCCUUUUUAAAGCAGGCGAUGGCGUUGUGAUUCACAGGAAAACAUUUUCACAGCAACAGUGUUCUGUGGAGAGGUGUUGGAUGAAUUCAUCAGCCUUUGUUUAACACAAGUGUUGUCUGGUGACUCUGUGUCUGCUGCUGCCUCGUAUUUGUCACGGAUCAAGCUGCAGGCUUUAUCUCACGUGGUGACCGAGGCAUGCUGACAGUACCAGUGGUGUUUAUAUGUAAAUACAUCUGGUGUUUUAGUUACCUGGAUAUUUGUCUUCUGGACGGCAUGCACGACUACUUUUUUGUUUAUUUUCAUAAAAAAUACCUUUACAACGAGUUAUUGUGUGUAUUAUUAUAUUUAUAAUAUCCUCCCUGUUUCCAAAGUGGCCUCUGUGAAUUUCUAAUGUUUAUGCACAGCCCAUUGGCAACUCAAUAAAGCUUAUACUGCCA
This is a non-coding RNA of Nothobranchius furzeri (turquoise killifish), 3332 nucleotides long. NCBI's taxonomy places the organism in Eukaryota, Metazoa, Chordata, Actinopteri, Cyprinodontiformes, Nothobranchiidae. The record is from RefSeq and is a predicted model, not a curated record.